RNAcentral lists this long non-coding RNA (2459 nucleotides) under Nicotiana tabacum (common tobacco). Its description in RNAcentral is "long non-coding RNA (NTAB_LNC009970)". Lineage: Eukaryota; Viridiplantae; Streptophyta; Magnoliopsida; Solanales; Solanaceae. The record is from RNAcentral.
UUCACUUCAGAUUGAAUUGUGGUCACCAUUUCAGUUGCAUUACCCGCAUUUUCCUACACAGUCAAAAUGAAAUUAAGAAUUAAAAAGAAUAUAAGUAUACAAUAUCAUAUUGGAAUCUGUAAUAUGGUUAAUAUUUAAUGUACUAUGUUGAAUCAACAAUAUGGCUCCUAUGUGAAAAUUCAGAUGAUUAAUCUUGGUUAGAGUAGACCUUUCAUAUAGUAUCAUGAAGGCAUAAAUAAUAAACAUCACAAUUGUUCAAAAAGUCUUCAUCAUUCACUUCAGAUUAAAUUGUAGUCUCCAUUUCAGUUGCAUUACCCGUAUUUUCCUACACAGUCAAAAUAAAAUUAAGAAUUAAAAAGAAUAUAAGUAUACAAUAUCAUAUUGGAAUCUAUAAUAUGGUUAAUAUUUAAUGUACUAUGUUGAAUCAACAAUAUGGCUCCUAUCUGAAAAUUCAGAUGAUUAAUCUUGGUUAGAGUAGACCUUUUAUGCAAUAUGGUAUAAAGUUGCUUGUUAAUUCGAAGUUACAACUUACAUACAAGUUUGCAUAAUAAUACAGUAUUGAAUAUGAUGAACUCAUUUAAACAAAUUUCUGAAAAUAGGGAUGAAUACAGUAAAUAACUCAAGUAACAACUCAAGCACAGAAAGAAGUAUAAAAAUGAAAAUAGUAAGAAAAGUUCACAACUGAUAUACAAGUUCUUAAAACAAUGUUAAAAAUGAUAACACAUUUAAACACACAUUUCCGAAAAUAGGUAUGAUAACGGUAACUGGCUCAAUUGGAGCAGGUACUAGCUUUGACAUAAAAAUACUAACACAAGCAGAACUUUGGAAAAAAAAAAAAGGCCAGACAACAAUACAUCAAGAACCACUAUGCAAAUCUCAUGACAUAUGCCAACAAAGACUUAACAUUUGCAAGGGAAGUGUAACUGGAAUUAUAAUGCCCAAAGGCAUAAAAUAAUUAAAAUUAUUCUGCAUUCACAUCACAUACAUUUUACAUUCUAGAGCAAAGUAAAAGUGAAACACUAAUAAAGCAGUGAAGUAGUCAGAUUUCUUUCCAAUCCCAAAGAUAAGUACAGAAAAUAUCCCGCUAAGGAUGUAAAUGCCAAAAUGAAAGUAUCAUUGCAUAGUGUAUUUGAGUUGGAUAAAGUCUUCCAUACUUGUUGAGUUCAAAAAUAUUUGCAUAGAGUUUGUGAGUUGGAUAAUAAGUUUCACAAUGAAACACUAACCUCUUUUUUUUUAUAAUCAUGGUAUCCGGGCCAGCUUGCACGCACCUCGAUUAAUUUCACGGGAUAGUGUCACCUCCCACCAACAACAAGUAUUAGAUAACUCUAUCCACCAAGGCUUGGAAUGAUGGGAAAAAAUCACCUAGUGUUUUUGUUUUCAUCGGAAUUUUAACCUGAAACAUCAUGGUUUUCACUCACUUCAUUGACUGCUAUAUCACACCCCUGAUUGCUUGAAAUACUAACCUCUCUUCCUUGUUCAGAUAGUGUUAAAAUUCUCUAGUGCCUAAUCACAAGAAAAAGUCUUCUUCAAGAAUAGGAAAAAGUUAAAACAAAAAGGGAAAGUAGCACAUUGGAUGAUCAAGCAUCCGAGCAAAUGAAAUUAGGGUCGGCAAAAAAAAGAAUAGGACAAAUUAUAUUCCUACAUGUUCUAUUAGUAACAUUCCCUUGAGAUCUUACUGCGGAUUUUGCUUGUGGUUAAUCUUUCCCAAUUAAGAAUCAUACAAGAAUUUCUGAAAAUUUUGCAUACUGAGCUUUUUGUAUAGGUGUCCCCUGGAUAAUAAUGUAUGAAGAAAGGAGGGGAAAAGGCAAAACAACUUAAGAUCCUAGUCCUCUUAGAAAGGGAAUGGAUCAUUUUCCCGAUUAUUCAGAUCUUCACGGGUUUGAGACAAUCCUCUAUUCAAGUACUCUUUCUUCUACUCGAGCCUCGGCAUAGCCUAAACAUAUCUGUCAAAUGAAGAAUAUAUACUUGUGAAGUUAACACUAAGCAACCAUUGUGAAAAUAUCCAUAGUUUCAAACCCAAAUAGUAAUAUAACUCUAUGCUACCUUAGCAUAUUUGCUCCCUUGAUACUCAGAGAAUAAAUUCAGAACAAUCAAAAUUUACCUUUUCACAAAUCAAACCAUAAGUUGACCAUAGAAAUGUUGAAGAUGUCGGCUUCUCAUAUCCCGUGCACUACUCGCAUCAAUCAGAGAAGGUAAGUUAGAUUCGACAUACCCUCCUAUAUCUGAAUGUACAGACCAAAGUUGGUUGCACCAAUACAUUAAACAAGAUGUCGCAAUUGUUCUCGUUCCUGCACUUCUUCCUUCAUGUCUUGCAUUUCAUCAUUCACAGAAAAUAACUGAAUCUAAGCAAGAGUUCAUUUCAAAACAACAAGUGUAUCAAAUAUGAAUUUUCAAAAAAUGUUUAAUCAUUUGGGCAGUAAUAACAUUAAUUAAGCAAAGAGCUAAUGAAUGAAAAUAAU